This 171-nucleotide unclassified non-coding RNA is filed under the name uncultured Hyaloscyphaceae. RNAcentral describes it as "sequence contains ITS1". Lineage: Eukaryota; Fungi; Ascomycota; Leotiomycetes; Helotiales. The record is from RNAcentral.
CAGAGUUCAUGCCCUCGCGGGUAGAUCUCCCACCCUGUGUUAUCGUCACCUUUGUUGCUUUGGCGGGCCGCCCAGGCCCUCGGCCAGGCUACCGGCUCCGGCUGGUAAGCGCCCGCCAGAGGACCCCAAACACCUGAAUAUCAGUGUCGUCUGAGUACUAUGUAAUAGUUA